UGUUUUAAAUUAACUUUGGCAUCAUAAUUAAAUAGCUUUACUUCUCCAUGGCUUAAAUCAAAUGGUACAGUUAAUUCUGCUUCGUGGUUAGUAAGAUUACCUACAAUAAGAACUUGCUUUUCAUUUAAUGUUCUCGUGUACGCAAAAACUUGUGAAUUUUCAGCAUCUACUAAAUCAAAUUGACCAUAUACGUAUACAUCAUUAGACUUUCUUAAUUGAAUUAAAUCUUUAUAAAAUUGUAAUACUGAAUGCUCAUCUUCUAAUUGUUGUGCAACAUUGAUAGUUUUAUAAUUCGGAUUCACUGGGAACCACGGUUCACCAUUUGUAAAUCCUCCAUUUAACGUAU
RNAcentral lists this small RNA (346 nucleotides) under Staphylococcus aureus. Its description in RNAcentral is "HMPRFS0000_1638". The record is from RNAcentral. Lineage: Bacteria; Bacillati; Bacillota; Bacilli; Caryophanales; Staphylococcaceae.